This is a non-coding RNA of Cryptococcus hyracis, 109 nucleotides long. NCBI's taxonomy places the organism in Eukaryota, Fungi, Basidiomycota, Tremellomycetes, Tremellales, Cryptococcaceae. The record is from the annotation of a GenBank genome assembly.
UGCCCCGUGGCUGAGUUGGUUACAGCGGUUGACUGUUAGUAUAAUGAUAAUUAAGGAUUAUUACGUAAUAACAAUCAGACGGUCCAGAGUUCGAAUCUCUGCGGGGCAG